This 253-nucleotide ribosomal RNA is filed under the name uncultured bacterium. RNAcentral describes it as "partial 16S ribosomal RNA". It matches the Rfam family "Bacterial small subunit ribosomal RNA", at positions 524 to 776 of the family's 1533-position model. The record is from RNAcentral.
UACGAAGGGGGCUAGCGUUGCUCGGAAUUACUGGGCGUAAAGCGCACGUAGGCGGGUCCGUAAGUAGGGGGUGAAAUCCCAAGGCUCAACCUUGGAACUGCCUUCUAGACUGCGGGCCUUGAGGUCAGGAGAGGCGAGUGGAAUACCGAGUGUAGAGGUGAAAUUCGUAGAUAUUCGGUGGAACACCAGUGGCGAAGGCGACUCGCUGGACUGAUACUGACGCUGAGGUGCGAAAGCGUGGGGAGCAAACAGG